RNAcentral lists this ribosomal RNA (373 nucleotides) under uncultured bacterium. Its description in RNAcentral is "bacterial SSU rRNA". It matches the Rfam family "Bacterial small subunit ribosomal RNA", at positions 521 to 896 of the family's 1533-position model. The record is from RNAcentral.
UAAUACGGAGGGUGCAAGCGUUGUCCGGAUUUAUUGGGUUUAAAGGGUGCGUAGGCGGCCCUGUAAGUCAGUGGUGAAAUACUGCAGCUUAACUGUAGCAUUGCCAUUGAUACUGUAGGGCUUGAGUACAGAUGAGGUAGGCGGAAUUGAUGGUGUAGCGGUGAAAUGCAUAGAUACCAUCAAGAACACCGAUUGCGAAGGCAGCUUACUAAGCUGUAACUGACGCUGAGGCACGAAAGCGUGGGGAUCGAACAGGAUUAGAUACCCUGGUAGUCCACGCUGUAAACGAUGAUUACUCGAUGUUCGCGAUAUACAGUGAGCGUCCAAGCGAAAGCGUUAAGUAAUCCACCUGGGGAGUACGCUCGCAAGAGUG